UGGGAAUUUGUCAAGUGACUGCCAAAACUCAAAAGCAAAUCAAAAGCCACAUUAAAGAAUCUUGAAAAUCCGAUCAGUUUUGCAAGCAAGGCAUUGAUUUGGUUGUUUUCCGGCAGGAUUUCGGCUGCAAGCAAUUGGUUCUUCUCCGAGGGUUUUCAUGAAAAUAUAGCUUUGUGAGAAGUGGGGGAGGAUAAAUUCAGCCAAGGAACGUAGAACAAAGAGAAAAUGGGAAUUCAGAAAUUUCUCAAAUCCAUUCCAAAACCAACAGCUUCUGAUCGGACUUCACUGCUACCUCUUGCUGUAAGAACGAUAGAUUCUUCAAUGUGUACCACUAACAACCUCACACCUGUUGCCCAAAACCAACUGAACCAACUCAUGGAAACCCACCUCAAACCCUCUUUCACAGCCAAAGAUUUCCUCUCUUUUCUCAAGAACCGUGUCCAUUACCACCCUAUCCUCACUAACCUUGACUUCUACCUCUUCAACUAUGCUGCUUCUGUUGAUUCGUUCCGCCAUGAUCACACCACCUUUGAGUGGAUGGUCCGCACUCUUGCCACCACCCACCGCCUCCAAUUUCUUACAACUCUCCUCCAAUUUAUUUCUUCUAACCCCUGCCCGUGUGCUGAUGGUAUUUUCUCUUGCCCCAAAACUGAACCUAUUUUUCGUUUUGCCAUUAAUGCUUAUUGCAAAGCUGGUAGAUUUGAUGAUGCUUUGUUAGCUUUUAACACAAUGAGAAGAUUGAUUGAUGGGAAGCCUGAUGUUGCUGUUUGCAAUAUGAUAAUUCAUGGAUUUGUGAAGUUUAAGCAUUUUGAUAAGGCUCUGGAGUUUUACCAUAGGAUGAUUGGAGAUCGAGUAAAGCCUGAUGUAAUUACAUUCAAUACUUUGAUUUCUGGGUACUGUAAGAACUCGCAAUUGGGCUUGGCUUUACAAAUGUUUAAGGAGAUGAAAACUCAUGGAUGUGCUCCAAAUGUAGUUAGUUUUAAUACUUUAAUUAAAUGGUUUCUUUUGGAUGGUAAGAUUGAGGAGGGGAUUGGGAUGGCCUAUGAGAUGACUGAGAUGGGAUGGGAGAUUUCAGCAGUGACUUGUGAGAUUUUGGUUGAUGGGCUUUGCAGGAAAGGACUGGUGUUGAAAGCGUGCGAUUUAUUGGUUGACUUUUCAAGGAAAGGGGUGCUGCCAAGAGCAUUUGAUUAUUUUGGGUUAGUUGAGAGGCUUUGUGGGGAAGGGAAUGUGGUCAGAGCAAUGGAAUUGGUGCAUGAGUUAUGGAGGAAUGGGAAUUCUCCAAGCUUGAUUGCUUGUACGACCUUAAUUGAAGGUUUAAGGGGAAAAAGAAAGGUUGACGAAGCAUAUGAAAUUAUGGAGAAAAUGCUGCAGGAAUGUAUGCUUCCGGACAGUGUAACAUUUAAUUGUCUUCUUAAUGACAUGUGUGAUGCAGGAAGAGUGAAGGAAGCAAAUAAGAUGAGGUUAUUGGGUUUAAACAAGGGCUUGGAUCCUGAUACUGUGACAUAUAAUAUUUUGGUAUCAGGUUUUAAGAGGGAAGGUAAAAAGAAGGAAUCGGAAGCUUUGGUGGAAGAGAUGUUGGAUUUGGGGUUUAUACCUGAUAUUGCUACUUAUAACAGGUUGAUCAAUGGACAUGCUAAAUCAAAACGUUAAUUUUCAAUGCCUGUACUUUCUUCAAGUUGAGACUACUUGCAUGGUUUCAAGUUAUUGAUGGAGAAUAUCAUGAUUAUUUUCCUUGUACUUUCAAUCAUCUGCAAAGAAGAUUGGUGAGUUAUAUAUCAUCGAGUAUUUUUCGGAGAGAGUCAACUGAAGCGGCAGCUUGGAGUUCUCAUGGCUUAAAAUGGUACAAAAACUGUCAUCUAUCAUCAUCAACAACUCUUUUCUGCACCGCAACAGAUCAUGGCAGAUAUGCUGCAUAUUUCUUAACAUGGAGUAUAGUGGACUCCACCGUGCCGAUUAAGAAGGAGGUUCUGCUAUGCUGGGAAGGACAAAGGAUUAGCUAGAGAGAAUGUGAAGAACAGUAUUAAUGUCCAUCCCAUGGGCAGUUUGUCCGCUGAGAACCACACACAUUUUGAGACUAAAUGUUUCUCAAAAAAAUACCACCGGGUGUAUAUUGGAUCUUACAAAAGUUAUUCAUUCUUGAAGAAUUCGACAUGGGUGCGGUAACAUUUUUGGUCCACAUGAACAAGAAGCAUGGGUUCUUCAUACCAGAUGUCGAGUUUUGGGAGGAUCCUAAAGGCUUCCUCGCUUAUCUUGGUCUCAAGGUUAAAAAGUAUUAUAUAUGUCUGUCUUACAACGAUGGAUGUCAUCCUUUCGGUAGUUUAGAGCAGUGCAGAAACAUAUGAAAGCAAAAGUUCAUUGCAAAGUGCAUUAUGGUGACGGUGGUGAUGAUGAAGAGGAGGAAUUAGAAGAGUUUUAUGACUAUAGAAGCAGGUGUUCCUACCUUUCAUAAACCAACUUGAUACUUAAUUCUCUGGAAGUCGCCAACUGUUUGCCUACUCUACUUAAUGAAUCUAAUACUCAAGCAGCCAAAACUCAAAGGUACCUCAUCCGGCUUUUGGGUGAUCCACCACUGCAUCAUAUCUACAGGGAGCGAAACAUCUUAGCAAAUAGAUUAGCAUGCAUGGCUUCGGCAACAAAUUUGGGCAGUGAAAAUACAACUUUUCGGAAUCCUCCUUCUCAAUUACUAGAUGUUUUGUUGGACGACCAAGUGGGAAGGAUGUAUACAAGACAAAUAGCUUCGACAAGUGUACAGGCAACUGGAGAGUGGAGAAGCAAUCACCACAGACCAGGAGAUAAUAAUGGAACCAAAUUUUGCAACAAAUGCUCCUAACUGCCCACUUAGCUUCUAAUAUAGCUGCCCAGCCCAGUCUUCACUAAAACAAGUACUAAUAAUAGUUGUGUCGUAUCUACUGUUAGGCUACGUGAACUUUCACCUUGUUGGUGAAGGUUCGAUUCCCCACCUUGUUUUCCCUUCCCCCCAUAACUCUAUGGUGCACUGUGCUCCGUUGUAGUUUCUAUCA
This is an RNA transcript of Solanum tuberosum (potato), 3020 nucleotides long. It is a transcript of the gene named pentatricopeptide repeat-containing protein At2g36240, with no coding region annotated. The record is from RefSeq and is a predicted model, not a curated record. NCBI's taxonomy places the organism in Eukaryota, Viridiplantae, Streptophyta, Magnoliopsida, Solanales, Solanaceae. The transcript is spliced from 5 exons.